Molecule: long non-coding RNA, 1339 nt
Organism: Aegilops tauschii subsp. strangulata
Lineage: Eukaryota; Viridiplantae; Streptophyta; Magnoliopsida; Poales; Poaceae
Source: RefSeq, a predicted model, not a curated record
UUGCGGGGUAGUCCAUUUGUGUUUUUGAAACAUAUAAAGCAGGAGAAGACACAUAAUAUAAUCUCCCUUCUCAUUCUGUUGCUCACCGCUGAACACUAUUCACGUGAUCCAGAAACAAGAACUCAGGAUCUCACGGGCACUCCUCAGAGCUCAGGCACUCUCGGUCGUCGGAUCAUUCUCCUGAUGCGAUUCCAGCCGUCGGAUCUCGGGCUCGGCUCACGUGAGGUGUCGGAUAUUUACCAGAUCAUUGUGAGCCAUUGGAUAAAAUUCCAAUUGCAACAGAAUGUAAAUACCGUGCCCCCACCGGGGCAUUUUGGUCAUUUUAUGUAGAGGUGUAUAAAAGGCAGCCGCUCCUGUGGAGAGAACCGAGCCGCCUCCUCCUCCAGCGCUUCCCAGCUCCUCCUCUCCCACUCUCGAUCCCCUCUCCAAACCCUAACCCUAACCACCAGCCCCCGCUCCCUGCCGCGUCGUCGCUUGUCUCCUCCUCCCCGCCCUCUCGAUGCUCAGCGGGAGGAACGCGUCUCGCCGCCGCAGCUGCUCCGCCUCUCUCGUCUCCCUCUCCUCUCCACGGUCCCCUGUCCCUCUCUCCUCUCCACGGUCCUCGGCAGAGGCAGCAUGGGCGGCCGCCGCACCACGCGAGAGAGUGCCCUAUCAGGCCACAUCGGAGAGGUCAUGGAUGUCAUGGUGAGGAUUGAGUGCUGCCGAGACGGUCGUUCGCAGCAUCGUCGCUGUCGUCCAUGGUAGGUGGCCAGGCGGAGCGCGGCGGCGCUUGACGGUUUGUGUGGAACCUCAACGGGGUGGAGGAGCAGCGAGGAGGAGGAGGAUGGGGUUCAUGCUGCGGGUGAGGCUGGCCUCCUUCGCGGCGGCGGGUGGCGGCUAGUUCCUCUACAAGGACUACAAGCUCGCCCACGACUCCACGGUCCUCUAGGUACAGUCUUCACUCUCGCACGCAUCGGCACCUGCGUGGACUGCAACUCCACCCAGGCCGCUACUGCAGGUCACCACUAUCACAGGGCAGGACAAGGUCUUUGCAGUAGCUUGGAUGGUGUCUCCGAUCUCCCGAGCGCGAUUCCAAAUUUUGUGCAGUACUUUAGCUUGUUGUAUACUUGUAGAUAUAUGUAGCAAAAGCAAGUAGGGCAUAUGAUUUUUGUAGCUUUUAUUAUGAUACAUCUUUUAAACAUGUGCUUUGUUGUACUUAUUAUUAGCAACCGUAGCAAGAAUGGUUGCCGAUCUCUGUUGGACACACUCGGAUGGCGAUUUUGAUGUUUGCAUCAGAUGUAUGUAUUUUAUUUUAGUUCUGCUUGCUCUGAUUAUAAUAGAAAAUACCAUCGCUAUCUUA